GUGGGGAAUAUUGGGCAAUGGGGGAAACCCUGACCCAGCAACGCCGCGUGAAGGAAGACGGUUUUCGGAUUGUAAACUUCUUUUAUCGGGGACGAAAAAAAUGACGGUACCCGAAGAAAAAGCCACGGCUAACUACGUGCCAGCAGCCGCGGUAAUACGUAGGUGGCAAGCGUUGUCCGGAUUUACUGGGUGUAAAGGGCGUGUAGGCGGGACUGCAAGUCAGAUGUGAAAUACCAAGGCUUAACCUUGGGGCUGCAUUUGAAACUGUAGUUCUUGAGUGAUGGAGAGGCAGGCGGAAUUCCUAGUGUAGCGGUGAAAUGCGUAGAUAUUAGGAGGAACACCAGUGGCGAAGGCGGCCUGCUGGACAUUAACUGACGCUGAGGCGCGAAAGCGUGGGGAGCAAACAGGAUUAGAUACCCGUGUAGUCC
RNAcentral lists this ribosomal RNA (428 nucleotides) under uncultured bacterium. RNAcentral describes it as "partial 16S ribosomal RNA". It matches the Rfam family "Bacterial small subunit ribosomal RNA", at positions 354 to 796 of the family's 1533-position model. The record is from RNAcentral.